AGUCGUAACAAGGUUUCCGUAGUUUGCGAUCGCUGGAGGCCGACACGGCCGGUGACCGGGCUGCUGUGGCGAGAUGCCGCUAUAUUUACCCCACUACCUGAACUUGGGUCGCAGGAACUGCUUCCCCUUAAAUCCGAACACUGUUAACAAUGGAUAUCUUGGUUCUC
RNAcentral lists this unclassified non-coding RNA (167 nucleotides) under fungal sp. RNAcentral's name for it is "partial internal transcribed spacer region". Lineage: Eukaryota; Fungi. The record is from RNAcentral.